This 76-nucleotide transfer RNA is filed under the name Nitellopsis obtusa. Its description in RNAcentral is "tRNA-Thr". It matches the Rfam family "tRNA". Rfam says of the family: Transfer RNA (tRNA) molecules are approximately 80 nucleotides in length. Their secondary structure includes four short double-helical elements and three loops (D, anti-codon, and T loops). Lineage: Eukaryota; Viridiplantae; Streptophyta; Charophyceae; Charales; Characeae. The record is from RNAcentral.
GCCCACGUAGCUCAGGUGGUAGAGCAUUCCCUUGGUAAGGGAAAGGUCUCCGGUUCAAGUCCGGUCGUAGGCUCCA